UUGGAACCCCGCACAUAGAGCCCCACACCCACACCUAGAACCCCACCAACCCUUUUGAGCUCUCCUCCUGGAAGUGAGCCUGAGAUGGGGCACGACUCAGUUUAAGCCUCCAGACACCAGCCUCUGAGCUGAGCCUGUGCAUUGCACCAGAGAUUACUGGCUGGAUGGAGCUAAAAUGCUGCUGGGGAUCAUGCUAACAAUUCAGUAAUAUGCUGUUCCAGUACUUGUGCCCCAGGUAGGAAAGUCAGUUUGUCAGAUGACAGCCGCUUUCCCAGCUGAUAUAGUUGCAUUCACCCUCCUUAAAUGCUCAAUGAACAGAGGAAUUUGGAAUAUUGCUGCUCUGUCACUGGGUCAGAUUCACCUUCUUCCUUCUUCUAGUUGCAAAAAGAAUAACUAUUUGAUCACC
RNAcentral lists this long non-coding RNA (406 nucleotides) under Cyanistes caeruleus (blue tit). Its description in RNAcentral is "lncRNA (ENSCCEG00000000818.1)". The record is from RNAcentral. Lineage: Eukaryota; Metazoa; Chordata; Aves; Passeriformes; Paridae.